Molecule: long non-coding RNA, 1980 nt
Organism: Dromaius novaehollandiae (emu)
Lineage: Eukaryota; Metazoa; Chordata; Aves; Casuariiformes; Dromaiidae
Source: Ensembl
UGUACAAAGGACCAUCAAUGUUUGUAUUGUUUUAAGACACAUUUAUUUUUGUAACUGUUACAAGAAUUUGUCAGCAUUUUGAUGUUUGUUUCCCUAAAGAUUUUUUCCCCAUCUUGAAAUGUGUCUGAAUGAGAGAUUGUAUGCAUAAAGUCAUUUGCUUACAUUUGUUUUAUGUAAAUUCCUUCUUCUCAUGAGAAGGAUCUAGCUGCCACAGUCUCAACCCGCAGAAGCCCAGUAAUCUCUAGUCAGAAAUACCGUAGUAAUAAUUUAACAGCAAGAGUGUGUGAACACAUCAUUGCUGCUCUCCAAAGGACUGCUUAGUUCAUUCAUUGCUUCAGUCAGGACAAUGUUGUCUGCCCCAGGCAGCAUCUACACAAAAUAAGAGGAAUUCAGACAUGUUCCAAGCAAGAAAACUAGGAAAGGAGCUUUUUUCCAAGCAGGGCAAGCUCAGCUUUUGCUCCAUUCCUCAUCCAAUCCAAGUUUUCAUGGGAUAUCUCUGGAAAAUCUGAGACAGUGUGGCACUUUUAAAGACACGUAGCAUGAAGUCAUCUCUCAAAAGCUAAGAAAAAAUAUUCCUUUUUGGUUGACUUGUACCUUGUUGUGACAUUGGAGCAUAUAACUCCAUUUGCCACAGCUUCACUGCAUCCCCUAAUGAGAGGCACUGUGUUGUUUCAGAUACUCAUAACCAUGAACAGUUCCCAUUACUCUUAUUUUAUGGAGCCUGCACUGAUUUCAUUUCUUCUUAACAGAGAAAGAUGAGAAGUUCCUCUUCGUUUUAUUUUGGUCUCAUUCACUACAAGGUUCAGUUGGUCUGGCUGCAGAAUCUGCAAGGAUAAAUGGAACAGGAGAGAGCUCAAACCAUUCAAGUGUUAAAGCUGCUCUACAAGUUCUCCUCUGCUGCUGGUGGCUUGUCACAGUGUAUCUGCUUCGUUGUGCUGAUGCAGCUGUCUGUGGAAUGGUACUGUAAAUCAGGUUUUUGACAUGAUUAAUGGUUUAAAAAACAGCAGCCUUUUCUGGGAAGGUGGAGAUGUUUUUUUAACCUGCAUCAGUUUGCUACAGCAUGGCAUCAAAGAGAUGCACUGGAACAACUGACAGGAGAAUGAAAUGUGAUUGGGAGGGCAAGAACUUUUUAAACCAGCUUUGCUGCAAGAGCAAACUAAGCAACUGAGUUCCAAGUGCUUUAUGAAUCUGCUAGGUUUUUUGUGAUGUUAAUCUAUAAUUUAGAUCCCUUUUAUUGCAGUGUAAAUAACAAAUGAGCUAUACUGCUCUUGUGCCCAGAGCUGUAGGCCCAGAGCAGAACUGCACUUUGCUAAACAAAGUACAGUAAUAGGAUCGAGAACAUUUCUGCUCCAGCCAGCUGACAAACUAAGUAUAAGACAAGAGACAACAGAUGGAUACACAGGCAAGGAGAAAGGAUCAGGAAAAAAUGAGACAACCCUGGCCAGUGGGAGAGGCCAUUGUCUCAUUGUACUGGGGAAAUAACUGUGCCACGUUUUACUUUCAGCAGUGCUGAUCAUGACACGUGUUUUUCUAAUUCUCUUGGGAACAAAUGCAUUWAACUUGAAGGUAUUGUCAUUGUCACUGACUGACUUCUACAGAAAUGUACUGAAUUUUUAAGCAAAUAGAUCAGAAAAUGCCCAGUGAAGACCAUUUUUCAGACUGUUUUCAAAACUCCAUAUAGAGUUAUGCUGAUUGACACAGGUUUAUGUUCUCUCCCAACUUGACAUGACUGGUGGGUCUUUUUGGAAGCAUUUUGAUGCUUGGCUGUGUGGUUCAAAGAUCUGGUGCUGGUAGGGAUUACACUGUGAUGGUGGGAUGUGCUAAGUGUCCAUCCUCACGGCGUUGUUCCCCUUCAAGGACAAUUUGUGAGAGGUGAAGAAAGUGCAAGCUAUUUGCUUUUCCUUCCCCCAAACUGAAGUAUCUUGCCACAUAAACAUAAGGAAACCUCUGUAAUUCUGGCACCCUGUGCAUAGAUCAUAU